Molecule: ribosomal RNA, 163 nt
Filed under: Anagyris foetida
Lineage: Eukaryota; Viridiplantae; Streptophyta; Magnoliopsida; Fabales; Fabaceae
Also listed under: 7 other names
Description: 5.8S ribosomal RNA
Rfam family: 5.8S ribosomal RNA
About the family: 5.8S ribosomal RNA (5.8S rRNA) is a component of the large subunit of the eukaryotic ribosome.
Source: RNAcentral
AAGACUCUCGGCAACGGAUAUCUCGGCUCUUGCAUCGAUGAAGAACGUAGCGAAAUGCGAUACUUGGUGUGAAUUGCAGAAUCCCGUGAACCAUCGAGUCGUUGAACGCAAGUUGCGCCCGACGCCAUCAGGUCGAGGGCACGCCUGCCUGGGUGUCGCACAU